UGGGGAAUAUUGCGCAAUGGGCGAAAGCCUGACGCAGCAACGCCGCGUGAGUGAUGAAGGCCUUCGGGUCGUAAAGCUCUUUCGGCGGGGACGAAACGGUCCGUGACAACACCACGGACUAAUGACAGUACUCGCAGAAGAAGCACCGGCUAACUACGUGCCAGCAGCCGCGGUAAUACGUAGGGUGCAGGCGUUAAUCGGAAUUACUGGGCGUAAAGCGUGCGCAGGCGGCUCCUUAAGUCAGAUGUGAAAUCCCCGGGCUUAACCUGGGAACUGCGUUUGAAACUGAGGGGCUAGAGUGUGGAAGAGGGGGGUGGAAUUCCAGGUGUAGCAGUGAAAUGCGUAGAGAUCAGGAGGAACAUCCAUGGCGAAGGCAGCUACCUGGACCAACACUGACACUGAGGCACGAAAGCGUGGGGAGCAAACAGGAUUAGAUACCCCAGUAGUCCCUGAGCGGGCUGGCAAGGCGCAU
This 472-nucleotide ribosomal RNA is filed under the name uncultured bacterium. Its description in RNAcentral is "bacterial SSU rRNA". It matches the Rfam family "Bacterial small subunit ribosomal RNA", at positions 355 to 825 of the family's 1533-position model. The record is from RNAcentral.